Oncorhynchus tshawytscha (Chinook salmon) is the source of this 1608-nucleotide long non-coding RNA. The record is from Ensembl. Lineage: Eukaryota; Metazoa; Chordata; Actinopteri; Salmoniformes; Salmonidae.
UUGGGAUCUCAGGGAGAACCACACUUCGGGAACGAAGCAGAUGGACCAACCUUUGAUCUAAGAGGAAGCGAGCCGAGUGGAUUCCACAUCUCGAACUGAGUUUUUUUUUUUAAAGAAAAAGGUGAGCGAACCACACACAGAUUUGAAGUCGAGUUUUUUAAUUAUGCCUGUUACGUAUACUCUGAGCGUGAAUUCCUUUAUAAGGAAGGCACCUUGGCGGCGUAAGCAGGGCCGAGUCAGAGGAGAGUAAUCUGGGGGUUUAGUGGACUCAAAAGAUACUCUGCGCUGUCCGGUUGCCAGUGACCAAGAGCCCUCCUGACACUGAAUUGAUCACAGUGGGUAUUUGGUGAGGUCUGUCGGGGUGAUGGGCCAGGGGGUCUGUGUGUUCUAGGUGAAACACGGCACUUGGUGAAGCCCUAUUGGAAGAAGGACCUCAUUCUGUGUAUCUGUGUGAUUUGUCUAAGUGACCCUCAGAUGUGGUGAAUUCCAAUUAUUUUAAAUAUGCUAGCUAGGUAUGCCCUGGGUUACUCUGUGUGAGUCGAACCGUUCUGUGUGAGCGGGGUAGGGUUGACUCUGUGUGAGUCGGACCGUUCUGUGUGAGCGGGUUGGGUUGACUCUGUGUGGGAAAACCUUUCGAUGCCCUGUGUGGACGUCGAAAAAGUUCUAUGUGAAAAUCUGAACAAUCCUGUGUGGAUGAUCUUGAAAGUUCUGUGGAAGAUACUCUUGGGGAGAGUGAGUGAAGGGAGGCCAUAAACUACCACAUUGGAGGGGGCCGGUGUCACGCCCUGGUCUAAGUAUUUUGUGUUUAUCUUCAUGUAUUGGGUCAGGCCAGGGUGUGGCAUGGGGUUUUUGUAUUGUGGUGUGUUUUGUCUUGGGGUUUUGGUGUAUAUGUAUUGGGAUUGUAGCUAGUGGGGUUAUCUAGCAAAGUCUAUGGCUGUCUGGAGUGGUUCUCAAUCAGAGGCAGGUGUUUAUCGUUGUCUCUGAUUGGGAACCAUAUUUAGGCAGCCAUAUUCUUUGAGUUUGUCGUGGGUGAUUGUCCUUAGUGUCCUUGUUCCUGUCUAUGUGUUAGGUUACACAAGUAUAGGCUGUUUCGUUAUUGAUUCGUGUUUUACGUUCGUUAUUAAACAUGGAUCGCAAUCUACACGCUGCAUUUUGGUCCGACUCUCCUUCACACCUAGAAAACCGUAACAGCCGGGAAGUUUUUUGUUGUAGUGCAAAGGUAUUAUAGGGGCACUUUUAUUUUAUUUUCUGACUUUUCAUUACACACGCAAAUUAUUUUGAUAAAGGAAUGUUCUGGGAACAUGGAAAUACGAAAAUGUUUGGAACUAGUUGAUUAUUGUUUGCAAAUUGUUUCAUAUAGUGCAAAACACUGCUUUGGAGGGUUUGUAUGACCUAUGACCUUCUGAUGACUUUCCGUUGUGGUUUGAUCACCCGCAUUGGAAAGCCAUUUGGAUAAUGAAAUUAUGGUCAUUUGUAAUACUGCUUUCAAAAUAAUUUUUGUAAUUGGUAAAUAUGUUUCUUAUCCAUAUGUGUAAUUUGGACCAAUGUAGGGCAUUGCUUUUAACUAAGGGUAUGCUGCUUUAAGUCUAUUUUCCUAUGACCAUAGGG